RNAcentral lists this ribosomal RNA (253 nucleotides) under uncultured bacterium. RNAcentral's name for it is "partial 16S ribosomal RNA". It matches the Rfam family "Bacterial small subunit ribosomal RNA", at positions 524 to 776 of the family's 1533-position model. The record is from RNAcentral.
UACGAAGGGGGCUAGCGUUGCUCGGAAUCACUGGGCGUAAAGGGUGCGUAGGCGGGGCUUUAAGUCAGGGGGGAAAUCCUGGAGCUCAGCUCCAGAACUGCCUUUGAUACUGAGGAUCUUGAGUACGGGAGAGGUGAGUGGAACUGCGAGUGUAGAGGUGAAAUUCGUAGAUAUUCGCAAGAACACCAGUGGCGAAGGCGGCUCACUGGCCCGUAACUGACGCUGAGGCACGAAAGCGUGGGGAGCAAACAGG